AACUUUCGGCAAUGGAUCACUUGGCUCUCGCAUCGAUGAAGAACGCAGCGAAAUGCGAUAAAUAAUGUGAAUUGCAGAAUUCAGUGAAUCAUCGAAUCUUUGAACGCACCUUGCGCUCCUUGGUAUUCCGAGGAGCAUGCCUGUUUGAGUGUCAUUAAAUUCUCAACCUUCCAACUUUUAUUAGCUUGGAUAGGCUUGGAUGUGGGGGUUGCAGGCUUCAUCAAUGAGGUCAGCUCUUCUUAAAUGCAUUAGCGGAACUUUUGUGGACCGUCUAUUGGUGUGAUAAUUAUCUACGCCGUGGAUGAGAAACAGCAUUAUCAAGUUCAGCUUCUAACCGUCCAUUGACUUGGACAAUUUUGACAAUUUGACCUCAAAUCAGGUAGGACUACCCGCUGAACUUAAGCAUAUCAAUAAGCGGAGGCU
RNAcentral lists this unclassified non-coding RNA (423 nucleotides) under uncultured Tricholomataceae. RNAcentral's name for it is "sequence contains ITS2". The stretch from base 1 to 154 matches the Rfam family "5.8S ribosomal RNA". Lineage: Eukaryota; Fungi; Basidiomycota; Agaricomycetes; Agaricales; Tricholomataceae. The record is from RNAcentral.